RNAcentral lists this ribosomal RNA (253 nucleotides) under uncultured bacterium. RNAcentral's name for it is "partial 16S ribosomal RNA". It matches the Rfam family "Bacterial small subunit ribosomal RNA", at positions 524 to 776 of the family's 1533-position model. The record is from RNAcentral.
UACGGGGGGGGCAAGCGUUGUUCGGAAUUACUGGGCGUAAAGGGCUCGUAGGUGGCCAACUAAGUCGGACGUGAAAUCCCUCGGCUUAACCGGGGAACUGCGUCUGAUACUGGAUGGCUUGAGUUUGGGAGAGGGACGCAGAAUUCCAGGUGUAGCGGUGAAAUGCGUAGAUAUCUGGAGGAACACCGGUGGCGAAGGCGGCGUCCUGGACCAACACUGACACUGAGGAGCGAAAGCCAGGGGAGCAAACGGG